Molecule: long non-coding RNA, 91 nt
Organism: Melanotaenia boesemani (Boeseman's rainbowfish)
Lineage: Eukaryota; Metazoa; Chordata; Actinopteri; Atheriniformes; Melanotaeniidae
Exons: 3
Source: RefSeq, a predicted model, not a curated record
UUUCGGAACCCGUGAUUAGGGCAGGGCAAUAUGAACUAAAUCUUAUGUCUCGAUAUGUUUUACCUGAAUUACGAUAUACGAUAUAUAUCUC